CAAAUGAACUGUUAGGUGAGACUCCUACGUAAAUAUACGCUGACGCCCAGCAACAUCCAGAGAUGCCAACGGGUUAAACAGGCACUGUCGAGUUAAGGCUUUCCCCAGUCAGCUAGUUGAACAGACUUCACGUUACGUAGUGUUAAAACUGAACGACGAGUAUAAAUC
Lactobacillus kefiranofaciens subsp. kefirgranum is the source of this 168-nucleotide non-coding RNA. NCBI's taxonomy places the organism in Bacteria, Bacillati, Bacillota, Bacilli, Lactobacillales, Lactobacillaceae. The record is from Rfam.